RNAcentral lists this ribosomal RNA (449 nucleotides) under uncultured Gammaproteobacteria bacterium. RNAcentral's name for it is "bacterial SSU rRNA". It matches the Rfam family "Bacterial small subunit ribosomal RNA", at positions 35 to 473 of the family's 1533-position model. Lineage: Bacteria; Pseudomonadati; Pseudomonadota; Gammaproteobacteria. The record is from RNAcentral.
GCUGGCGGCAUGCUUAACACAUGCAAGUCGAACGGUAACAGGCGGAAGCUUGCUUCUGCGCUGACGAGUGGCGGACGGGUGAGUAAUGCAUAGGAAUCUGCCCAGUAGUGGGGGACAACUUGGGGAAACUCAAGCUAAUACCGCAUACGCCCUACGGGGGAAAGUGGGGGAUCUUCGGACCUCACGCUAUUGGAUGAGCCUAUGUCUGAUUAGCUUGUUGGUGGGGUAACGGCCUACCAAGGCGACGAUCAGUAGCUGGUCUGAGAGGACGAUCAGCCACACUGGGACUGAGACACGGCCCAUACUCCUACGGGAGGCAGCAGUGGGGAAUAUUGCACAAUGGGCGCAAGCCUGAUGCAGCAAUGCCGCGUGUGUGAAGAAGGCCUGCGGGUUGUAAAGCACUUUCAGCAGGGAGGAAAAGCAGUGGGCUAAUACCCCGCUUUCUUGAC